This 1297-nucleotide ribosomal RNA is filed under the name uncultured bacterium. RNAcentral's name for it is "bacterial SSU rRNA". It matches the Rfam family "Bacterial small subunit ribosomal RNA", at positions 85 to 1399 of the family's 1533-position model. The record is from RNAcentral.
AGAUAUCUUAGUGGCGCACGGGUGAGUAACGCGUGAAUAACCUGACCCGAAGAGGGGGAUAACACCUGGAAACAAGUGCUAAUACCGCAUAAGACCACGGACCGGCAUCGGUCAGAGGUCAAAGGAGAAAUCCGCUUUGGGAGGGGUUCGCGUCCCAUUAGGUAGUUGGUGAGGUAACGGCCCACCAAGCCGACGAUGGGUAGCCGAGCUGAGAGGCUGAUCGGCCACACUGGAACUGAGACACGGUCCAGACUCCUACGGGAGGCAGCAGUGGGGAAUAUUGGGCAAUGGGCGCAAGCCUGACCCAGCAACGCCGCGUGAGGGAAGAAGGUUUUCGGAUUGUAAACCUCUGUCGCAGGGGACGAAGGAAGUGACGGUACCCUGUAAGAAAGCCCCGGCUAACUACGUGCCAGCAGCCGCGGUAAUACGUAGGGGGCGAGCGUUGUCCGGAAUUACUGGGCGUAAAGAGCUCGUAGGCGGGAAGGUACGUUUGGAAGUAAAUCUCACGGCUCAACUGUGAGCUCAUUCCAAAUACGGCUUUUCUUGAGGGCAGCAGGGGAGAAUGGAAUUCCCAGUGUAGCGGUGAAAUGCGUAGAUAUUGGGAAGAAUACCGGUGGCGAAGGCGAUUCUCUGGGCUGUGACUGACGCUGAGGAGCGAAAGCGUGGGUAGCGAACGGGAUUAGAUACCCCGGUAGUCCACGCCGUAAACGAUGAAUACUAGGUGUGGGGGGACUGACCCCCUCCGUGCCGGAGUUAACACAAUAAGUAUUCCACCUGGGGAGUACGGCCGCAAGGUUGAAACUCAAAGGAAUUGACGGGGGCCCGCACAAGCAGUGGAUUAUGUGGUUUAAUUCGAAGCAACGCGAAGAACCUUACCAGGGCUUGACAUCCAACUAACGAAGUAGAGAUACAUUAGGUGCCCUUCGGGGAAAGUUGAGACAGGUGGUGCAUGGUUGUCGUCAGCUCGUGUCGUGAGAUGUUGGGUUAAGUCCCGCAACGAGCGCAACCCUUGUUGUUAGUUGCUACGCAAGAGCACUCUAGCGAGACUGCCGUUGACAAAACGGAGGAAGGUGGGGACGACGUCAAAUCAUCAUGCCCCUUAUGUCCUGGGCUACACACGUAAUACAAUGGCGUUAAACAGAGGGAGGCAAAGCCGCGAGGUGGAGCAAAUCCCUAAAAGGCGUCUCAGUUCGGAUUGCAGGCUGCAACUCGCCUGCAUGAAGUCGGAAUUGCUAGUAAUCGCGGAUCAGCAUGCCGCGGUGAAUACGUUCCCGGGCCUUGUACACACCGCCCGUCA